CUGGCGGCGUGCCUAAUACAUGCAAGUCGAACGGUCUUUCUAUGGAAGCUGCUUCCACUGAGAAGAUAGUGGCGAACGGGUGAGUAACACGUGGGUAACCUGCCCAUAAGAGGGGGAUAACAUCCGGAAACGGGUGCUAAUACCGCAUAGUUUUUCUUGAUCGCAUGAUUGAGAAAGGAAAGACGGCCUUUGUGCUGUCGCUUAUGGAUGGACCCGCGGCGUAUUAGUUAGUUGGUGAGGUGAUGGCUCACCAAGACGAUGAUACGUAGCCGACCUGAGAGGGUGAUCGGCCACAUUGGGACUGAGACACGGCCCAAACUCCUACGGGAGGCAGCAGUAGGGAAUCUUCCGCAAUGGACGAAAGUCUGACGGAGCAACGCCGCGUGAGUGAAGAAAAGGGUUUUCGGAUCGUAAAACUCUGUUGUCAGAGAAGAACAAGUUGGAGAGUAACUGCUCCAGCCUUGACGGUAUCUGACCAGAAAGCCACGGCUAACUACGUGCCAGCCGCUGC
RNAcentral lists this ribosomal RNA (511 nucleotides) under uncultured bacterium. RNAcentral's name for it is "bacterial SSU rRNA". It matches the Rfam family "Bacterial small subunit ribosomal RNA", at positions 36 to 518 of the family's 1533-position model. The record is from RNAcentral.